CAACAGCGUAUAUUAAAGUUGUUGCAGUUAAAAAGCUCGUAGUUGAAUUUCGGGUCCCCGCGCUCGGCGCUUCAUUGUGCCGUCGUGGUGUCCCUCCUCGCCGUAAGGCGUCCUUUACUGUGAAAAAAUUAGAGUGUUCAAAGCAGGCAAUCGCUUGAAUACAUUAGCAUGGAAUAAUAAGAUAGGAUCUUGUCUAUUUUGUUGGUUGCGGACAACGAUAAUGAUUAAUAGGGAUAGUUGGGGGUGUCCGUAUUGAGCUGUCAGAGGUGAAAUUCUUGGAUUUGCUCAAGACGAACUACUGCGAAAGCAUUCACCAAGGAUGUUUUCAUUAA
RNAcentral lists this ribosomal RNA (332 nucleotides) under uncultured eukaryote. Its description in RNAcentral is "partial 18S ribosomal RNA". It matches the Rfam family "Eukaryotic small subunit ribosomal RNA", at positions 592 to 976 of the family's 1831-position model. The record is from RNAcentral.